UGGGGAAUAUUGCACAAUGGAGGGAACUCUGAUGCAGCGACGCCGCGUGAACGAAGAAGUCUUUCGAGUCGUAAAGUUCUUUUAUAUGGGAAGAUAAUGACGGUACCAUAUGAAAAAUCCCCGGCUAACUACGUGCCAGCAGCCGCGGUAAUACGUAGGGGGCUAGCGUUGUCCGGAAUCACUGGGCGUAAAGGGUUCGCAGGCGGGAAUGCAAGUCAGGUGUAAAAGGCAGUAGCUUAACUACUGUAAGCAUUUGAAACUGCAUAUCUUGAGUAGAGUAGAGGUAAGUGGAAUUUUUAGUGUAGCGGUGAAAUGCAUAGAUAUUAAAAAGAAUACCGGUGGCGAAGGCGACUUACUGGGCUCAUUCUGACGCUGAGGAACGAAAGCGUGGGUAGCAAACAAG
This 403-nucleotide ribosomal RNA is filed under the name bacterium. Its description in RNAcentral is "partial 16S ribosomal RNA". It matches the Rfam family "Bacterial small subunit ribosomal RNA", at positions 355 to 776 of the family's 1533-position model. The record is from RNAcentral.